CCAAAACUCUGCAAAUUAACUCCGUAACUUCGGGAAAAGGAGUGCCCUACUCCGGUAGGGCCGCAGUGAAAAGGGUCUAGCGACUGUUUACUAAAAACACAGGUCUGUGCGAAGGCGUAAGCCGCUGUAUACAGACUGACGCCUGCCCGGUGCUGGUAAGUUAAGGGAGAGGGUUAGCCCGUAAGGGUGAAGCUCGCAACCGAAGCUCCAGUAAACGGCGGCCGUAACUAUGACGGUCCUAAGGUAGCGAAGUUCCUUGUCGGGUAAGUUCCGACCUGCAUGAAUGGCGUAACGACUGGACCACUGUCUCCACGAGCGACUCGGUGAAAUUGUAGUUGUCGUGAAGAUGCGACAUACCCGCAGCUAGACGGAAAGACCCCGUGAACCUUAACUGCAGUUUGGUAUUGGGUUUAGACCCAGCAUGCGUAGCGUAGGUGGGACUCUGUGAAGCGUGGCUCUCGGGCCAUGUGGAGAGGCCGAUGUAACACCACCCUUGCUGUGUUUGAAUUCUAACUCCGACUCGUGAAUCCGAGCGGAGGACCGUGCUAGAUGGUCAGUUUGAUUGGGGCGAUCUCCUCCUAAACGGUAACGGAGGAGUCCAAAGGUACCCUCAGCCCGGUCGGCAAUCGGGCAUCGAGCGUAAAGGUAGAAGGGUGCUUGACUGCGAGACCGAUGGGUCGAGCAGGUGCAAAAGCAGGGCUUAGUGAUCCGGUGGUCCUGAAUGGAAAGGCCAUCGCUCAACAGAUAAAAGGUACUCCGGGGAUAACAGGCUUAUCUCCUCUGAGCGUUCAUAGCGGCGAGGAGGUUUGGCACCUCGAUGUCGGCUCAUCACAUCCUGGGGGUGGAGAAGCUCCCAAGGGUUCGGCUGUUCGCCGAUGAAAGUGGUACGUGAGCUGGGUUUAGACCGUCGUUAGACAGGUCGGUCCCUAUCUGCUGUGGGCGCAGGAAACUUGCGGGGCUUUCUCCCUAGUACGAGAGGACUGGGAGGGACACACCUCUGAUGUGCCAGUUGUGACGCUAGUUGCACCGCUGGGUAGUCACGUGUGGACGGGAUAAACGCUGAAGGCAUAUAAGCGUGAAACUUCCCCCUAGAUCAGGUUUCCAGCGCAAGCGAAGGCUCCCGGGAGACUACCGGGUCGAUAGGCCGGGCGUGUAAGAGGGGUUAACUCUCUGAGCCAACCGGUACUAACAGCCGAUUGUUUGGCCGC
RNAcentral lists this ribosomal RNA (1208 nucleotides) under metagenome. Its description in RNAcentral is "bacterial LSU rRNA". It matches the Rfam family "Bacterial large subunit ribosomal RNA", at positions 1707 to 2925 of the family's 2925-position model. The record is from RNAcentral.